CGGUAUGUAGCGCAGCUUGGUAGCGCACUGCUCUGGGGGAGCAGGGGUCACAGGUUCGAAUCCUGUCAUACCGACCA
Molecule: transfer RNA, 77 nt
Filed under: Psychromonas marina
Lineage: Bacteria; Pseudomonadati; Pseudomonadota; Gammaproteobacteria; Alteromonadales; Psychromonadaceae
Also listed under: 1 other name
Description: tRNA-Pro
Rfam family: tRNA
About the family: Transfer RNA (tRNA) molecules are approximately 80 nucleotides in length. Their secondary structure includes four short double-helical elements and three loops (D, anti-codon, and T loops).
Source: RNAcentral